UCUACAAGUGUGACAUCAGCGGUCAUGGAGAGUCUCCAUCCAGCUGGAUCACUGUCACAGGGGAAGACACCACCACACCUCCACCUACAUCCACACCUCCUCCUGGUUGCACCUCUUGUCAUCCAUCACCCUCCCCUCCUGUUGUCACUGUGUUGUCAUUCAUUUUAACAGUCUGUGUUGCAGCUCUACUUACUUUAAUAGUUCUGUUGAUUAAACUUUGUGUUGUUAGAAAACCUGAAGGUGACACUUGGACCUCUGGAUUUGACCCAGGUUUUGUUUUUUCAGAAUUAUGUACAAGUAUAUCAAUGACUUUAAACGUGUCAUCAAAACUUGCACAGCGUCAUACUGCUUUUCCUUUUGGUUUUCUUCAGCCAAUCGACAGGAAGCUAAAGAAGAUAACCCAAUCAGUAACGUCUUAUAUGACAUCGGACAGAGCAGAGGGAUAAAUCGGGCUGCACUCUACUCAACAGUGAGGAAAAAAACACCACUUAUUUACAAAUCGUGAAAGACAAGAGAAACAAAUCAAAGCCAACAGAGUUUCCAUCAGAGCCAGAUGCCAUCUCCCCUAGUCCACCAGUCCAACCACUGCAAUCCAGCUGAGGGUCUCGAAUCGGUCCACACAACACCCCAGAUGAGAAUUACUUGUAUAACAGAUUAGUAGAUAUCUUCUUUUCUUUACAUGGAGUUAGAGUCACUCAACUUUUGUGAGACAAGAAAAUCAAUUCAACAGCGGAAAGAUUUUUUAUAAAAAAAAAAAAAAAAAACCUUUAAAAAUGUAAACUCUAAAGACUAAAACAAAAAGCAAUAAUAAUAAUUGUCUUUAUCACCACAGCAAUGAUCUGGUUUCUCUGCAGAAUCAGAUACCUUUGGUCUCAUUUUUUUUGUUCUUCCUGUGUGGUUCUGUGGGUUUUACAAAGAUUUCUGAUCAAAAAUUUGAGGCGUUGUGGCAAACCAGUGCAGACUUCUGUUCACCUAACCAGACUGUAAACAGCAUGAACAUCAUUCAGAAGGUCGACACUGCACAGAAUAUAUUUAGAACAAACUGUACGUGUGUCUAUUUGUACAUUUUAAUUCAAGGAAAUUGAAUCCGUUCAAUUUCCUUGAAUCAACUUCAGUUGUUUUUCAAACUAAGCAUGCCUCCAUAUUAUUAUAUCUUUUGAAUUAUGCAGCUGCACACAUUCAUCUUAGCGUGUUUUUCAGUGUCUGUGGACACAGGGUUUCUUGGACACUUAUAGAUUUUCUUUUAAACUUCUAUGGCUGAUUGCUUUGCUCCUACAUGGCUCUUCAGUUUAUUGCUAUUAUGUCAGUUUGAUCAAAGAAAAAGAAGUAAAUAUUACAUAUAUUGUGAGGAUAAAUGUUCAAACAGAUCCUGCUUUUGAUGCAGUUGCAAGUGCUGUGUUUGAUUGUGAUAUUUGCCUGUAAGUUGCACAAUUGUGAGUCAUUCUGUUGCUGUGUGUAAUUAAAUGAAAAUUAAAAAACAAA
This is a long non-coding RNA of Oreochromis niloticus (Nile tilapia), 1482 nucleotides long. RefSeq lists it as uncharacterized. The transcript is spliced from 4 exons. The record is from RefSeq and is a predicted model, not a curated record. Lineage: Eukaryota; Metazoa; Chordata; Actinopteri; Cichliformes; Cichlidae.